ACUAAGCCAUGCGAGGCGUUCGCCCCUUUGGGGCGAGCCGAACUGCUCAGUAACACGUAGCCAACCUACCCUGAGGACGGGGAUAACCCCGGGAAACUGGGGAUAAUCCCCGAUAGGCAAGGUGUGCUGGAAGGCCUCCUUGCUGAAAGGUCCGCUUCGGUGGGCGCCUCAGGAUGGGGCUGCGGCGGAUUAGGUUGUUGCCAGGGUAACGUCCUGGCAAGCCGAUAAUCCGUACGGGCCCUGAGAGGGGGAGCCCGGAGAUGGGUUCUGAGACAUGAACCCAGGCCCUAUGGGGCGCAGCAGGCGCGAAACCUCCGCAAUGGGCGCAAGCUCGACGGGGGGACUCCGAGUGCCCUCUGCUUUUGCAGGGGGCUUUUGCCGAGUGUAAACAGCUCGGCGAAUAAGGGGUGGGCAAGACCGGUGCCAGCCAUUUGCUUGGUCACAACAUUUCUAAGAAUCGUUUGUGACCAAGCAAACUGGAAGCCGCGGUAAUACCGGCGCCCCGAGUGGUGGUCACGAUUAUUGGGCCUAAAGCACCCGUAGCCGGCCUGGUAAGUUCUCAGUGAAAUCCUCCCGUUGACGGGAGGGCUUGCUGGGAAUACUGCCAGGCUAGGGACCGGAAGAGGCCGGGGGUACUCCCGGGGUAGGGGUAAAAUCCGUUAAUCCCGGGGGGACCACCUGUGGCGAAGGCGCCCGGCCAGAACGGUUCCGACGGUGAGGGGUGAAAGCCAGGGGAGCGAUCGGGAUUAGAUACCCCGGUAGUCCUGGCCGUAAACGAUGCCCACUUGGUGUUGUCCCUCCUUCGGGGAGGGGCAGUGCCGGAGGGAAGCCGUUAAGUGGGCCGCCUGGGGAGUACGGCCGCGAGGCUGAAACUUAAGGGAAUUGGCGGGGGAGCACUACAAGGGGUGGAGCCUACGGUUCAAUUGGAUUCAACGCCGGA
Molecule: ribosomal RNA, 940 nt
Filed under: uncultured euryarchaeote
Lineage: Archaea; Methanobacteriati; Methanobacteriota
Description: bacterial SSU rRNA
Rfam family: Archaeal small subunit ribosomal RNA
Source: RNAcentral